GGUGCUGUUAUGUGUCAUAAAGUGAUGUCUAAAGUCAUCAUGACGUGGUGGCAUGUGGAAAGGAGGUGGGCACUGAACUCACGUGGGCUGGGAGAGACCAGUGCUACCCCUGGAUUGGCCAUAAUGAGGAGAGAUAUCCCAGGACAAGGAGGUAAAGGAGCCCGGUGUGGAGGUGCAGAGGAGGAAGAGCUGCAGCCAAGCAGCUCCAUCCCAGGGCAGGCCUCCCUCCAGAAGGAUUUUCCUUUGACCUCAGCUAAUGAAAUGAUCCAGAUCAGUGACUGGGGAAAGCAGCCUCAGGACAAAGUUCAAGCCUUUUUCUUCUCAACAGGCUCUCUGUGACAGUUCCUAUUCAG
Passer domesticus (house sparrow) is the source of this 353-nucleotide long non-coding RNA. RefSeq lists it as uncharacterized. The transcript has 3 exons. The record is from RefSeq and is a predicted model, not a curated record. Lineage: Eukaryota; Metazoa; Chordata; Aves; Passeriformes; Passeridae.